Long non-coding RNA from Daphnia pulex (common water flea), 739 nucleotides. RefSeq lists it as uncharacterized. NCBI's taxonomy places the organism in Eukaryota, Metazoa, Arthropoda, Branchiopoda, Diplostraca, Daphniidae. The record is from RefSeq and is a predicted model, not a curated record. The transcript is spliced from 3 exons.
CCCAAUCUGAUGUUCACUGAAGAGCAGUGGGAUUUGAUGAAGGAUUUCGUUAAGAUAUUGGCUCCCUGUGAGCAAAUUUCGAGAGAACUUUCGUCUCAAAAAUACCCAUCAAUUUCCAGAGUUCUUCCACUACUGAAACUCGCGACUGGUUUUCUUAGCAAGAAUCAAGAGGAGGGAACUGAAAAUGGCCCAAAAUUCAAAGCUUCGGCAAUUUUAAAGCGUCGUUUGUUACGAAGUUUAAGAACCCGAUUCCAUAAUAUGGAAGAAGAAGAUCCCGAUAGGAGAGCUCCAAAAUUUUUUUCUGUUGCUACUUUCUUGGAUCCCAGAGCAUGUAUAACUCUGAUGCUUCACGGGUGGAGAGGAAAGCCAUCAUUCUUCUCUCUGGGGUGACUCAUGAGGAAGAGGUACGCCAAAGAGAACCCUCUAGCAGCCUUGAUUCAUUGUGGGGUGAACACGAUGUAAGAGUCAACGAACUAAAUGCCAACGCAAGGCAACCAACGACCAACGGGAGGGCUCAUGGUCUCAAUCUUGUUCGUGAGUACAAACAAAUGGCCUAUGUAGACCGAAAAGACGAUCCUUUGCAGUGGUGGCAUUCGAAAGCUGACCACAGCAUCUUCAAAAACUUUUCCCCAAUCAUUAAAAAAAUUUUUUGUAUUCCCGCUACUUCGGUUCCUUCAGAGGCAGCUUUUUCAGCGGCUGGAGAAUUAAUUUCUCCGAAGAGAUCGAAAUUGUCCCCUGA